RNAcentral lists this ribosomal RNA (459 nucleotides) under uncultured Actinomyces sp. RNAcentral describes it as "bacterial SSU rRNA". It matches the Rfam family "Bacterial small subunit ribosomal RNA", at positions 338 to 795 of the family's 1533-position model. The record is from RNAcentral. Lineage: Bacteria; Bacillati; Actinomycetota; Actinomycetes; Actinomycetales; Actinomycetaceae.
CCUACGGGCGGCAGCAGUGGGGGGUAUUGCGCAAUGGGCGGAAGCCUGACGCAGCGACGCCGCGUGAGGGACGGAGGCCUUCGGGUUGUGAACCUCUUUCGCCGGUGGAGAAGGCGCCCCCGUGUGGGGUGCUGACUGUAGCCGGGUUAAGAAGCGCCGGCUAACUACGUGCCAGCAGCCGCGGUAAUACGUAGGGCGCGAGCGUUGUCCGGAGUUACUGGGCGUAAAGGGCUUGUAGGCGGCCGGUCGCGUCCGCCGUGAAAUCCCCUGGCUCAACCGGGGGCGUGCGGUGGGUACGGGCCGGCUGGAGUGCGGUAGGGGAGGCUGGAACUCCUGGUGUAGCGGUGGAAUGCGCAGAUAUCAGGAAGAACACCGGUGGCGAAGGCGGGUCUCUGGGCCGUUACUGACGCUGAGGAGCGAGAGCGUGGGGAGCGAACAGGAUUAGAUACCCCUGUAGUC